RNAcentral lists this ribosomal RNA (205 nucleotides) under uncultured bacterium. RNAcentral describes it as "partial 16S ribosomal RNA". It matches the Rfam family "Bacterial small subunit ribosomal RNA", at positions 1297 to 1500 of the family's 1533-position model. The record is from RNAcentral.
AUUGUAGUCUGCAACCCGACUACAUGAAGCUGGAAUCGCUAGUAAUCGCGAAUCAGCAUGUCGCGGUGAAUACGUUCCCGGGUCUUGUACACACCGCCCGUCACACCAUGGGAGUUGGUAACGCCCGAAGUCAGUGACCUAACCGCAAGGGAGGAGCUGCCGAAGGUGGGGCCAGUAACUGGGGGUGAAGUCGUAACAAGGUAAC